UACGUAGGGUGCGAGCGUUAAUCGGAAUUACUGGGCGUAAAGUGUGCGCAGGCGGCCGAGCAAGUCGAGUGUGAAAUCCCCGGGCUUAACCUGGGAAUUGCGCUUGAAACUAGCGGGCUUGAGUGUGGCAGAGGGGGGUGGAAUUCCACGUGUAGCAGUGAAAUGCGUAGAGAUGUGGAGGAACACCGAUGGCGAAGGCAGCCCCCUGGGUCAACACUGACGCUCAUACACGAAAGCGUGGGGAGCAAACAGG
RNAcentral lists this ribosomal RNA (253 nucleotides) under uncultured bacterium. Its description in RNAcentral is "partial 16S ribosomal RNA". It matches the Rfam family "Bacterial small subunit ribosomal RNA", at positions 524 to 776 of the family's 1533-position model. The record is from RNAcentral.